RNAcentral lists this ribosomal RNA (1691 nucleotides) under Haemophilus influenzae. RNAcentral describes it as "bacterial LSU rRNA". It matches the Rfam family "Bacterial large subunit ribosomal RNA", at positions 591 to 2153 of the family's 2925-position model. The record is from RNAcentral. Lineage: Bacteria; Pseudomonadati; Pseudomonadota; Gammaproteobacteria; Pasteurellales; Pasteurellaceae.
GGGUGACUGCGUACCUUUUGUAUAAUGGGUCAGCGACUUAUAUUUUGUAGCGAGGUUAACCGAAUAGGGGAGCCGAAGGGAAACCGAGUCUUAACUGGGCGAAUAGUUGCAAGGUAUAGACCCGAAACCCGGUGAUCUAGCCAUGGGCAGGUUGAAGGUUGGGUAACACUAACUGGAGGACCGAACCGACUAAUGUUGAAAAAUUAGCGGAUGACUUGUGGCUGGGGGUGAAAGGCCAAUCAAACCGGGAGAUAGCUGGUUCUCCCCGAAAUCUAUUUAGGUAGAGCCUUGAGGUGACACCUUUGGGGGUAGAGCACUGUUUCGGCUAGGGGUCCAUCCCGGAUUACCAACCCGAUGCAAACUACGAAUACCAAAGAGUGAUACUCAGGAGACACACGGCGGGUGCUAACGUCCGUCGUGGAGAGGGAAACAACCCAGACCGCCAGCUAAGGUCCCCAAGUCUAUAUUAAGUGGGAAACGAAGUGGGAAGGCUUAGACAGCUAGGAUGUUGGCUUAGAAGCAGCCAUCAUUUAAAGAAAGCGUAAUAGCUCACUAGUCGAGUCGGCCUGCGCGGAAGAUGUAACGGGGCUGAAAUAUAGCACCGAAGCUGCGGCAUCAGGCGUAUCACUAAUACGCCUUACGAUUAACAAGCUAGAAUGGCGCGAAGCGGCAUGAAAGGUUGUUCAAGCAACCCGAACGUUGAGUCGGGGUAUUUUUGAAGUAAGGAUUAUUAGUGAUACGCCUGUUGGGUAGGGGAGCGUUGUGUAAGCGGAUGAAGGUUAAUCGAGAGGUUAGCUGGACGUAUCACAAGUGCGAAUGCUGACAUAAGUAACGAUAAAACGGGUGAAAAACCCGUUCGCCGGAAGACCAAGGGUUCCUGUCCAACGUUAAUCGGGGCAGGGUGAGUCGGCUCCUAAGGCGAGGCUGAAAAGCGUAGUCGAUGGGAAACAGGUUAAUAUUCCUGUACUUGGUAAAGCUGCGAUGUGGGGACGGAGUAGGUUAGGUUAUCGCACUGUUGGAUAUGUGCGUUUAAGUUGGUAGGUGGGAAGUUUAGGCAAAUCCGGACUUCCUUAACACAGAGAGAUGAUGACGAGGCUCUACGGAGCUGAAGUAACUGAUACCACACUUCCAGGAAAAGCCACUAAGCGAAAGGCUUUACUAAACCGUACUGAAAACCGACACAGGUGGUCAGGUAGAGAAUACUCAGGCGCUUGAGAGAACUCGGGUGAAGGAACUAGGCAAAAUAGCACCGUAACUUCGGGAGAAGGUGCGCCGGCGUAGAUUGUAGUCCCUAGCGGGCGAAGGUUGAACCGGUCGAAGAUACCAGCUGGCUGCAACUGUUUAUUAAAAACACAGCACUCUGCAAACACGAAAGUGGAGGUAUAGGGUGUGAUGCCUGCCCGGUGCUGGAAGGUUAAUUGAUGGUGUCAUCGCAAGAGAAGCACCUGAUCGAAGCCCCAGUAAACGGCGGCCGUAACUAUAACGGUCCUAAGGUAGCGAAAUUCCUUGUCGGGUAAGUUCCGACCUGCACGAAUGGCAUAAUGAUGGCCAGGCUGUCUCCACCCGAGACUCAGUGAAAUUGAAAUCGCCGUGAAGAUGCGGUGUACCCGCGGCUAGACGGAAAGACCCCGUGAACCUUUACUAUAGCUUGACACUGAACAUUGAAUUUUGAUGUGUAGGAUAGGUGGGAG